Molecule: small nuclear RNA, 106 nt
Filed under: Microcebus murinus (gray mouse lemur)
Lineage: Eukaryota; Metazoa; Chordata; Mammalia; Primates; Cheirogaleidae
Source: RNAcentral
UUGCUUGGUUCAGCAGUACAUAUACUAAAUUCGAAUGAUACAGAGAAGAUUAGCAUGGUCCCUGCACAAGGAUGAUAUGCAAAUUCAUGACAGAUUCCAUAGGAAA